AGUUUACAAGGCACGUAUAAAUAUCCGGGAAGGCCGCGUGCACGUUCUCUUUCCUUCGCGAGCCUGACACAGACAGGCGUCAGUAAGUCGCCAUGCCGGUUGCCAGGAGUUGGGUUUGUAGUAAGACAUACGUCACCCCCAGACGUCCCUUCGAGAAGUCACGUCUCGACCAGGAGUUGAAACUCAUUGGCGAGUAUGGCCUCAGGAACAAGAGAGAAGUCUGGCGGGUGAAGUUCACUCUGGCCAAAAUCCGCAAAGCUGCCAGAGAGCUGCUCACUCUGGACGAGAAGGAUCCUAAGCGUCUCUUCGAAGGUAAUGCUUUGCUCAGGCGUCUGGUGCGCAUUGGUGUGCUGGAUGAGGGCAAGAUGAAGCUCGAUUACAUUUUGGGCUUGAAAGUGGAGGACUUCUUGGAGAGGAGGCUGCAGACUCAGGUCUUCAAGCUUGGCCUGGCCAAGAGCAUCCACCAUGCUCGUGUGCUCAUCCGUCAGAGGCACAUCCGCUGACCAUGUUUAAACUCCUCCCGGUGAGAGGGAAUGAAAUAUUCUGCAAGGUCAAUUCGGUGAUUAAACCGUAUACCUUUGCUUGUAAAAAAAAAUAAGCCCAAAAACCCAAACUUCCCAAGACGUCUGGGGUGCUUUAUCGCACAAAACAGAGUCUGCCAGGGUGCGUAAGCAGGUUGUGAACAUCCCCUCCUUUGUGGUGAGGCUGGACAGCCAGAAGCACAUCGACUUCUCUCUCCGCUCUCCAUACGGUGGUGGCCGCCCUGGACGUGUCAAGAGAAAGAACGCCAAGAAGGCCCAGGGUGGUGGUGGAGGCGGUGAUGAUGAAGAGGAGGAUUAAACCAUUCCUCCCAGGGGUUGAGGGAUUCGGCAGUGCUUGCUUUUUCUCUUCUCCCUCAAGUUUUCAAUAAAAAGUUUAUUCCAAA
Cyprinus carpio (common carp) is the source of this 925-nucleotide RNA transcript. It is a transcript of the gene named ribosomal protein S9, with no coding region annotated. NCBI's taxonomy places the organism in Eukaryota, Metazoa, Chordata, Actinopteri, Cypriniformes, Cyprinidae. The record is from RefSeq and is a predicted model, not a curated record. The transcript has 6 exons.